ACAUACAAUAGUAAUAAGAUAUGGAGUGGGCUGGUAUGCUUCGAGAAGCACGGAGCCUUUCGUAUUUUCAAAUUAUUUUUAAUAUUGCGACUUUCGAAUAGAUGAUCGGCUCCGUUAGAAUUGAUCUAGAGUAUUUGAAGUACCUAGGAAAUAAAUUUUGUGAUUUUUCGAUAUCAUUUGCCUAGUGAUCGAAGGUUCUCAAAAUCAAUAAUUUUAAUGACCGUAGUGAGCCGUUUGCAAGUUUUAGAGUAUAGAAACAUUCAAAUCACGUGAAAUUUUGAUAGAAAAUUCUUUAUACUAUAUAGAACAAAAUCAAUAACUUUGAUUUAAAAUUUUAAUGUCAUAUCAUCAUAGUUUGUAAGAUUUUUAUUUUCAGCCGUUGAUUUUGAGCCACUUCGAUCACUAGGCAAAUGAUAUCGAAAAAUAGCAAAAUUUAUUUUCUAGAUACUUCAAAUACUCUAUAUCAAGUCUAAUGGAGCCGAUCGUCGAUUCAAAAGUCCCAACAUCGAAAACGACUUGAAAGCACGGAGUGCUUCGUGCUUUCAGAAGCACACUAAACGCACUCAUAAGAUAUGAU
This 577-nucleotide long non-coding RNA is filed under the name Ananas comosus (pineapple). RNAcentral's name for it is "long non-coding RNA (ACOM_LNC036652)". The record is from RNAcentral. Lineage: Eukaryota; Viridiplantae; Streptophyta; Magnoliopsida; Poales; Bromeliaceae.